This 72-nucleotide transfer RNA is filed under the name Ictidomys tridecemlineatus (thirteen-lined ground squirrel). RNAcentral describes it as "Spermophilus tridecemlineatus (thirteen-lined ground squirrel) tRNA". It matches the Rfam family "tRNA". Rfam says of the family: Transfer RNA (tRNA) molecules are approximately 80 nucleotides in length. Their secondary structure includes four short double-helical elements and three loops (D, anti-codon, and T loops). Lineage: Eukaryota; Metazoa; Chordata; Mammalia; Rodentia; Sciuridae. The record is from Rfam by way of RNAcentral.
GGGGUUGAGGCUCAGCGGUAGAGCGCUUGCCUAGCAAGUACAAGGCCCUGGGUUCGAUCCUCAGCAACACAU